RNAcentral lists this ribosomal RNA (481 nucleotides) under uncultured bacterium. Its description in RNAcentral is "partial 16S ribosomal RNA". It matches the Rfam family "Bacterial small subunit ribosomal RNA", at positions 28 to 507 of the family's 1533-position model. The record is from RNAcentral.
GAUGAACGCUGGCGGCGUGCCUAACACAUGCAAGUCGAGCGAAGCACUUACUUAAGAUUUCUUCGGAAUGACGAAGUUUGUGACUGAGCGGCGGACGGGUGAGUAACGCGUGGGCAACCUGCCCUGUACAGGGGGAUAACAGUUAGAAAUGACUGCUAAUACCGCAUAAGCCCACAGCUUCGCAUGAAGCAGUGGGAAAAACUCCGGUGGUACAGGAUGGGCCCGCGUCUGAUUAGCUAGUUGGUAAGGUAACGGCGUACCAAGGCGACGAUCAGUAGCCGACCUGAGAGGGUGACCGGCCACAUUGGGACUGAGACACGGCCCAAACUCCUACGGGAGGCAGAAGUGGGGAAUAUUGCACAAUGGGGGAAACCCUGAUGCAGCGACGCCGCGUGAGCGAUGAAGUAUUUCGGUAUGUAAAGCUCUAUCAGCAGGGAAGAAAGUGACGGUACCUGACUAAGAAGCCCCGGCUAACUACGUG